AAACAGGGCCAUACCACCCUGAACGCGCCUGAUCUCGUCUGAUCUCGGAAGCUAAGCAGGGUCGGGCCUGGUUAGUACUUGGAUGGGAGAGGAGGGUUAAUCUUGACUA
Papio anubis (olive baboon) is the source of this 109-nucleotide non-coding RNA. The record is from Rfam. Lineage: Eukaryota; Metazoa; Chordata; Mammalia; Primates; Cercopithecidae.